GUUAUCCGGAAUUACUGGGCGUAAAGCGUGCGCAGGCGGUUUUUUAAGUCUGUCGUGAAAGCCCCGGGCUCAACCUGGGAAUUGCGAUGGAGACUGCAAGGCUUGAAUCUGGCAGAGGGGGGUAGAAUUCCACGUGUAGCGGUGAAAUGCGUAGAUAUUGGGAGGAACACCAGUGGCGAAGGCGGGUUACUGGGCUGAUACUGACGCCGAUGCGCGAAAGCCAGGGGAGCAAACGGG
This 237-nucleotide ribosomal RNA is filed under the name uncultured bacterium. Its description in RNAcentral is "partial 16S ribosomal RNA". It matches the Rfam family "Bacterial small subunit ribosomal RNA", at positions 540 to 776 of the family's 1533-position model. The record is from RNAcentral.